RNAcentral lists this long non-coding RNA (256 nucleotides) under Elaeis guineensis (African oil palm). RNAcentral's name for it is "long non-coding RNA (EGUI_LNC066548)". Lineage: Eukaryota; Viridiplantae; Streptophyta; Magnoliopsida; Arecales; Arecaceae. The record is from RNAcentral.
UCUUGUUAAUGGAGAAUGUUGUGCAAAACCUAUAACUCUAUGCAAGGAUGAAUAGAGCAUCCACACUAAAUGGAAAACAAAAAUGCACAUCAAGAAAAAAUAAGUUGGCAAGUGAGAGGUCAUAAUGUUUAUUGUUGUUCACAAUUAUGAGCUAAUCUAAAACUUGUUUCCCUUGAUCACAUAAAAAAAUUACUACAGCAAAUAAGAAAUUAUAAGAAUUUUAUAUGAGCAAAAUAUUUCUAUUCGUAGAUGCUUG